This 1032-nucleotide long non-coding RNA is filed under the name Salmo salar (Atlantic salmon). RNAcentral's name for it is "lncRNA (ENSSSAG00000084021.1)". Lineage: Eukaryota; Metazoa; Chordata; Actinopteri; Salmoniformes; Salmonidae. The record is from RNAcentral.
AGGAAGGUUCUCCAGAGAACAACAGACAGUGGAAGGUUCUCCUCAGAACAACAGACAGAGGAAGGUUCUCCUCAGAACAACAGACAGAGGAAGGUUCUCCUCAGAACAACAGACAGAGGAAGGUUCUCCAGAGAACAACAGACAGAGGAAGGUUCUCCUCAGAACAACAGACAGAGGAAGGUUCUCCUCAGAACAACAGACAGAGGAAGGUUCUCCAGAGAACAACAGACAGAGGAAGGUUCUCCUCAGAACAACAGUCAGAGGAAGGUUCUCCUCAGAACAACAGACAGUGGAAGGUUCUCCAGAGAACAACAGACAGAGGAAGGUUCUCCUCAGAACAACAGACAGAGGAAGGUUCUCCUCAGAACAACAGUCAGAGGAAGGUUCUCCAGAGAACAACAGUCAGAGGAAGGUUCUCCAGAGAACAACAGUCAGAGGAAGGUUCUCCUCAGAACAACAGACAGAGGAAGGUUCUCCUCAGAACAACAGACAGAGGAAGGUUCUCCUCAGAACAACAGACAGAGGAAGGUUCUCAUCAGAACAACAGACAGAGGAAGGUUCUCCUCAGGACAACAGACAGAGGAAGGUUCUCCAGAGAACAACAGACAGAGGAAGGUUCUCAUCAGAACAACAGACAGAGGAAGGUUCUCCUCAGAACAACAGACAGAGGAAGGUUCUCCUCAGAACAACAGACACAGGAAGUGGUUUGAUUUUAAUUAAGGAAAGACACUAUCUGCAUCUCUUACUUUCUCUCUCUUUUUUUUUAAUAGAAAUCAUUUUUUGCACAAUAUGAAAAAAUGUUCCUCACAUCUAAGACGAACUAACAUGGUAAAGGAAGUAAAGAAAGGAAGGAGAAGCAUUCAGCAUGGUGGUGUAUAAAUGAGUCUGAUCAGUAAAGACAGACUUCAUCACAGUAGGCAAUGGGAUGGAGACUGGUCCAGGGUCCUUUGUCUUGGGAAUGUCCACGGUAUUUAGCUGUGGGGGAAAUGAGGGAUUGAUAUGAGUUUCAUUUGUUGUUUUGUGAAGUUAUAA